UACGUAGGGUGCGAGCGUUGAUCGGAAUUACUGGGCGUAAAGCGUGCGCAGGCGGUCUGUUAAGACCGAUGUGAAAUCCCCGGGCUUAACCUGGGAACUGCAUUGGUGACUGGCAGGCUUUGAGUGUGGCAGAGGGAGGUAGAAUUCCACGUGUAGCAGUGAAAUGCGUAGAGAUGUGGAGGAACACCGAUGGCGAAGGCAGCCUCCUGGGCCAACACUGACGCUCAUGCACGAAAGCGUGGGGAGCAAACAGG
RNAcentral lists this ribosomal RNA (254 nucleotides) under uncultured bacterium. RNAcentral's name for it is "partial 16S ribosomal RNA". It matches the Rfam family "Bacterial small subunit ribosomal RNA", at positions 524 to 776 of the family's 1533-position model. The record is from RNAcentral.